CCUACGGGAGUCAGCAGUGAGGAAUAUUGGUCAAUGGGCGCGAGCCUGAACCAGCCAAGUCGCGUGAGGGAAGACGGUCCUAUGGAUUGUAAACCUCUUUUGUCGGGGAGCAAAAGACGCCACGCGUGGCGUUCCGAGAGUACCCGAAGAAAAAGCAUCGGCUAACUCCGUGCCAGCAGCCGCGGUACUACGGAGGUUGCGAGCUUUAUCCGGAUUUAUUGGGUUUAAAGGGUGCGCAGGCGGAAGAUCAAGUCAGCGGGAAAAUUGAGAGGCUCAACCUCUUCGAGCCGUUGAAACUGGUUUUCUUGAGUGAGCGAGAAGUAUGCGGAAUGCGUGGUGUAGCGGUGAAAUGCAUAGAUAUCACGCAGAACUCCGAUUGCGAAGGCAGCAUACCGGCGCUCAACUGACGCUCAUGCACGAAAGUGUGGGUAUCGAACAGGAUUAGAUACCCCUGUAGUC
This 459-nucleotide ribosomal RNA is filed under the name uncultured bacterium. RNAcentral's name for it is "partial 16S ribosomal RNA". It matches the Rfam family "Bacterial small subunit ribosomal RNA", at positions 338 to 795 of the family's 1533-position model. The record is from RNAcentral.